GUUUAAAACACAUGGUAUCCAGAUAGAUAGAUAAGGUACCUUCAUUUGUUAACUCGCACAGCUUAGCGCAGCAAUGCCGGCGGUGGCGUCACUAUCGCCACCGGCGCCGGGGCCGGCCGCAUCGCGUCGCCGGAGGUUCUCCCCCGCGUCGGCGUCGCUUCGCCGCGCCGCAUCCGGAGGGGGCUCGAGCUGGCGGGGCGAGCGGCGCCUCAUGUCGGAGCUGGAGCGCACGGUGACGGCGGGCGCCGCGGAGCGCGUCAUCCGCGGCUACGUCGGCACCAAGUCGGAGCGCGCCGCCCUCGCCGCGCUCUCCCGCCUCCUCAUGGACUCCGACCCCCUCGCCGUCCCCUUCUACGAGGCGGUGACCCAGGCCCGGUGGUUCAAGUGGAGCUCGAUCCACGCCGCAGCCGUCGCCGCCUUGCUGGAAGCCAACGGCCGCGCCGACGAAUCCAGAUCCCUCAUCGCCGACUCCGCCGGGCGCCUCGAGUCCACCGCUGAGCUGGCCCUCUUCUACUGUGACCUCAUGGCGGCCUUCUCCUCGCGCGGGCUGAAGCGCCGGGCCAUGGAUUUCUACGCGCAGCUCCGGGCGAUGCCGACGCCGCUCGCCGGGGGCGGCAAGACCUACAUGGCCAUGAUUAAAUCCCUGUGCAUGUUGGGCCUCGCCGCCGAGGCCGAGGAGGCGCUGCGGGAGAUGGUCGCUCUGGGGUACCAACCUGAUGCGUUUCAGUUCGGAUUGGUGGCGAAAUGCUAUGGGAAGGCAGGCCAAUUGGCUGAGAUGGAGAGGGUGAUUGCGUCCAUGUCUGAAGCCGGCAUCCGCCUGGGCACCGGCGCGGCGAACAUUGUCCUCUCGUGCUACAGCGCUUGCCGUGAGCACGGAAAGAUGCUAGCGUGGCUGAAGAAGAUGCGGAAGCUGCGCGUUGCGCCGACAACCAAAGCCUACAAUUUCGUGCUCAACUCGUGCCCGACGGUGGUGUCGAUGGCUCGUGAACUGGGCCCUUCGCUCCCGUUGUCGGCAGCGCAGUUGGUGAGGAAGCUCAAGUCUGCAUCUCCAUGGCCGGCAGAAGUUGAGGUGGUGCAGGAGCUUCUGGCAGCCUCAUCAGUGUUGAACAAGGCGAUGGUUUGGUCAGAAACUGAGGUGAAGCUGAACCUGCAUGGGUUCAGUAUAACAUCAGCCUAUGUGCUGAUGCUGCAGUGGGUGGACGCAGUGAGAGGGGGCCGCGCAUUGCCAUUGGAAGUGUCUGUCGUGUGCGGCGUCGGGAAGCACAGUGACGUCCGAGGCGAGCCCAAAGUGCGGGAGCUGGCACAAGAGGUUCUGAGCCGGAUGGGAAGCCCCCUGCGGCUGUCCGCGAGGAACAAAGGCCGGCUCGUGGCGAAGCGAGACAGGGUGAAACAAUGGCUGGCCACUGAGUGGACUUCUGUGGUGCCUGAGGACAGCACAGAUCAGUCACCCAAUGCGAGCAAUAAGCAACCAUUUUUACCUAAGCUUUUGAGGAAACUCGGGCAGUUUUUUUCCUCCUUUGUGUCGGUUUCCAUAUGAGUGUCAAGCUGUUCAUUGUAGAUUAGGAAGUUCAGAGUUGGCAUAACAUCUUUCUUAUGUUGUGUGAAUGAUACAAGAUGGGCUUAGUGCAUGAAUGUACCUAAACCCAUCAGUGCAUAUUCGACUUGCCUCUCAAGUCCUCAGCCAACUACUUGACGAAACCUAUUGAAAAUGUCAAGUUUAAUUGUUCCUAGUAAGCUCAGUUGGGACUUGGGGUUUUCAAGCUUUGCACAAAAACAUUUAUUAGAUCUCUGGUUGCUGAUGCUAAACUUAUUCAACAGGAUUACAAUAAUAACUCUACCUCUUGGUGUAUAAGACAUUGGUGAAGUUAAGGAUUUUUAUGAAGGGAGGUUCUUCUGGAGCCUUGGGUUAGCUCCAACUUUGGUGGAAACUAAAGUUGGAGCAUUCGCUGCUCACCUUUGAUGAAUUUGGGGUGGCCACCUGGAGAUAAAAGAAAAGGAAGGUGAAAUUCAGUAAAUUACACUUUCAAAGGAGUAGUACAUAAUUGAUGGAAUGAUUGCAUCAAAAGUACCUAUGCAUC
Molecule: RNA transcript, 2078 nt
Organism: Hordeum vulgare subsp. vulgare (domesticated barley)
Lineage: Eukaryota; Viridiplantae; Streptophyta; Magnoliopsida; Poales; Poaceae
Gene name: pentatricopeptide repeat-containing protein At2g17033
Exons: 5
Source: RefSeq, a predicted model, not a curated record